UUGAACUUCAGUUUGUGUCGUGUUUGAACUUGAGUUUGUGGUGUUUUUUGAACUUGAGGUUGUGGUGUUUUUGACUUGAGUUCGUGGCGUGUUUGAACUUGAGGUUGUUGCAAUUGUUAAACUUGAGAUUUGGGUGUUGGUUGAACUUAAAACUUUGCCAUUUGUUGAACUUGAGUUAGUGGUGUAUGUUGAACUCCAGCUUGUGUUGUGUUUGAACUUGAGGUCGUGGUAUUUUUGAAUUGAGUUUGUGGAGGUUUUUGAACUUGAGUUUGUGGCGUGUUUGAACUUGAGAUUGUGGCGUGUUUGAACUUGAGUUUGUGGUGGUUUUUGAACUUGAGGUUGUGAAAAUUGUUAAAACUUGAGAAUCAGGUGUUGGUUGAACUUGAGUUUGUGGUUUUUGUUGAACUUGAUUUUGUGCUUUGAUUGAACUUUAGUUUAUGUUUUUUUUUUGUACUUGAGUUUGUGUUGUUUUUGAACUUGAGGUUGUGGAAAUUGUAAAAACUUGAGAAUCAGGUGUUGGUUGAACUUGAGUUUGUGUGUUUUUUUAACUUGAGUUUGUUGUUUCUGAACUUGAGGUUUUGGCAAUUGUUGAACUUGAUAAUUGGGUAUUGGUUGAACUUGAGUUUGUGUGUUUGUUGAACUUGAGUUUGUGUCGUGUUUGAACUUCAGUUUGUGGUGUUUUUUGAACUUGAGUUUUUGGUGUCUUUGAACUUGAGGUUGUGGCAAUUGUUGAAUUUAAGUUUGUGACGUGUUUGAACUUGAUUUUGUGGUGUUUUUGAACUCGAGUUUGUUUUGUUUUUGAACUUGAGUUUGUGGUGUUUGUUGAACUUGAGUUUGUGUCGUGUUUGAACUUGAGGUUGUGGUGUUUUUGAACUCGAGUUUUUGUGUUUGUUGAACUUCAGUUUGUGUCGUGUUUGAACUUGAGUUUGUGGUGUUUUUUGAACUUGAGGUUGUGGUGUUUUUGAACUUGAGUUUGUGGCGGUUUUUGAACUUGAGGUUGUUGCAAUUGUUGAACUUGAAAUAAAAACCCAAAUAUGAACCCAAAUAUAUAUUUUUUCUUUUUACAUUUUUUUUGGUGUAACCAACUCCAAAAGGUCUUAAACAUGUUCCUAAAAAAAUUUUGGACAGUGAUUUUAAACCUAACGCCUAAAACCUUAAACCUUACCCUAGCCCCAUAACCUAAUACCCGGGUAUUAACUUCAGGAAGCCCAAAAACCCCAAAUAUUUUUUUUUCAUUGUUCGUUUUUUUUUUGGUCUAACUAACACCAAAAGGUUGGAAAGAGGUCCUACAAAGGUUUUGGACAGUGAUUUUAACACUCACGUCAAAAACCUUAAACCUUACUAUAGCCCCAUGACCUAAUACCCGGGUAUUACCUUCAGAAGCCCAAAAACCCCAAAUAUUUUUUUUUUAUUUUUCGUUAGUUUUUGCUCUAUCUAACUCCAAAAGGUUGGAAAAGAGUUCCUACAAAGGUUUUGGACAGUGAUUUUAACCCUAACGCCAAAAACCUUAAACCUUACCCUAGCCCCAUAACCUCAUACCCGGUUAUUUCCUUAAGGAAGCCCGAAGACCCCAAAUAUAUUUUUUUCAUUUUUUUUUUUUUGGUCUAACUUGCUCUCAAAGGUUGGAAAAGAGUUCCUACAAAGGUUUUGGACAUUGAUUUUAACCCUAACGCCAAAAAACUUAAAGCAUUACCCUAGCCCAGAAACCUAGUAUUACCUUCAGGAAGCCCGAACACCCAAAAAAAAUUCUUUUUCUUUUUACAUUUUUUUUGGUGUAACCAACUCCAAAAGGUCUGAAACAUGUUCCUAAAAAGGUUUUGGACAUUGAUUUUAACCCUAACACCAAAAAACCUUAAACCUUACCCGAGCCCCAUAACCUAAUACGGGUAUUUCCUUCAGGAAGCCCGAAGACCCCAAAUAUGUUUUUUUCUUUUUUCUUUUUUUUUGGUCUAACUAACUCCAAAAGGUUGGAAAAGAGUUCCUACAAAGGUUUUGGACAGUGAUUUUAACCCUAACACCAAAAACCUUAAACCUUACCCUAGCCCCAAAACCUAAUACCCGGGUAUUACCUUCAGGAAGCCCGAACACCCCAAAUAUAUUUUUUUUCAUUUCACAUUUUUUUUUGGUGUAACAAACUCCAAAAGGUCUUAAACAUGUUCCUAAAAAGGUUUUGGUCAGUGAUUUUAACCCUAACGCCAAAAACCUUUAACCUUACUAUAGCCCCAUAACCAAAUACCCGGGUAUUACCUUCAGGAAACCCGAACACCCCAAAUAUUUUUUUUCAUUUUUCGUUUUUUUUUGGUCUAACUAACUCCAAAAGGUUGGAAAAUAGUUCCUACAAAGGUUUUGGACAGUGAUUUUAACCCUAACGCCAAAAACCUUAAACCUUACUAUAGCCCCAUAACCUAAUACCCAGGUAUUACCUUCAGGAAGCUUGAACACCCCAAAUAUUUUUUUUUCAUUUUACAUUUUUUUUGGUGUAACCUACUCCAAAAGGUCUGAAACAUGUUCCUAAAAAGGUUUUGGACAUUGAUUUUAACCCUAACACCAAAAAACCUUAAACCUUACCCUAGCCCCAUAACCUAAUACCCGGGUAUUUCCUUCAGGAAGCCCGAAGACCCCAAAUAUAUUUUUUUCUUUUUUCUUUUUUUUUUGGUCUAACUAACUCCAAAAGGUUGGAAAAGAGUUCCUACAAAGGUUUUGGACAGUGAUUUUAACCCUAACACCAAAAACCUUAAACCUUACCCUAGCCCCAAAACCUAAUACCCGGGUAUUACCUUCAGGAAGCCCGAACACCCAAAAAAAAUUUUUUUUCAUUUUACAUUUUUUUUGGUGUAACCAACUCCAAAAGGUCUGAAACAUGUUCCUAAAAAGGUUUUGGACAGUGAUUUUAACCCUUACGCCAAAAACCUUAAACCUUACCCUAGCCCCAUAACCUAAUACCCGGGUAUUACCUUCAGGAAGCCCGAACACCCCAAAUAUUUUUUUUUCAUUUAUCUUUUUUUUGUCUAACUAAUUCCCAAAGGUUGGAAAAGAGUUCCUACAAAGGUUUUGGACAGUGAUUUUUACCCUCACGCCGAAAUACCUUAAACCUUACCCUAGCCCCAUAACCUAAUACCCGGGUAUUACCUUCAGGAAGCCCGAACACCCCAAAUAUAUAUUUUUUAUUUUUCUAUUUGUUUUGGUCUAACUUGCUCUCAAAGGUUGGAAAAGAGUUCCUACAAAGGAUUUGGACAUUGAUUUCAACCCUAACGCCAAAAAACUUAAACAUUACCCUAGCCCAGAAACCUAAUACCCGGGUAUUACCUUCAGGAAGCCCGAACACCCAAAAUAAAUUUUUUUUCAUUUUACAUUUUUUUUGGUGUAACCAACUCCAAAAGGUCUGAAACAUGUUCCUUAAAAGGUUUUGGACAGUGAUUUUAACCCUUACGCCAAAAACCUUAAACCUUACCCCAGCCCCAUAACCUAAUACCCGGGUAUUACCUUCAGGAAGCCCGAACACCCCAAAUAUUUUUUUUUCAUUUAUCUUUUUUUUUUUUGUCUAACUAACUCCAAAAGGUUGGAAAAUAGUUCCUACAAAGGUUUUGGACAGUGAUUUUAACCCUAACGCCAAAAACCUUAAACCUUACUAUAGCCCCAUAACCUAAUACCCGGGUAUUACCUUCAGGAAGCUUGAACACCCCAAAUAUUUUUUUUUCAUUUUACAUUUUUUUUUUGGUGUAACCUACUCCAAAAGGUCUGAAACAUGUUCCUAAAAAGGUUUUGGACAUUGAUUUUAACCCUAACGCCAAAAACCUUAAACCUUACCCUAGCCCCAUAACCUAAUACCUGGGUAUUUCCUUCAGGAAGCCCGAAGACCCCAAAUAUAUUUUUUUCUUUUUUCUUUUUUUGGUCUAACUAACUCCCAAAGGUCUGAAACAUGUUCCUUAAAAAAUAUUGGACAGUUAUUUUAACCCUAACGCCAAAAACCUUAAACCUAACCCUAGCCCCAAAACCUAAUUACCUUACCUUCAGGAAGCCCGAACACCCCAAAUAUUUUUUUUUCAUUUUACAUUUUUUUUUUGGUGUAACCAACUCUAAAAGGUCUUAAACAUGUUCCUAAAAAGGUUUUGGACACUGAUUUUAACUCUAACACCAAAAACCUUAAACCUUACCCUAGCCCCAUAACCUAAUACCCGGGUAUUACCUUCAGGAAACCCGAACACCCCAAAUAUAUAUUUUUUUCUUUUUUUUUUUUUUUGGUCUAACUAACUCCCAAAGGUCUGAAACAUGUUCCUUAAAAAAUAUUGGACAGUUAUUUUAACCCUAACGCCAAAAACCUUAAACCUAACCCUAGCCCCAAAACCUAAUACCCGGGUAUUACCUUCAGGAAGCCCGAACACCCCAAAUAUUUUUUUUUCAUUUAUCUUUUUUUUUUUGUCUAACUAACUCCAAAAGGUUGGAAAAUAGUUCCUACAAAGGUUUUGGACAGUGAUUUUAACCCUAUCGCCAAAAACCUUAAACCUUACUAAAGCCCCAUAACCUAAUACCCGGGAAUAACCUUCAGGAAGCUUGAACACCCCAAAUAUUUUUUUUUCAUUUUACAAUUUUUUUUGGUCUAACUAACUCCAAAAGGUCUGAAACAUGUUCCUAAAAAGGUUUUGGACAGUGAUUUUAACCCUUACGCCAAAAACCUUAAACCUUACCCUAGCCCCAUAACCUAAUACCCGGGUAUUACCUUCAGGAAACCCGAACACCCCAAAUAUUUUUUUUUUCUUUUUCUUUUUUUUUUGUCUAACUAACUCCCAAAGGUCUGAAACAUGUUCCUUAAAAAAAAUUGGACAGUUAUUUUAACCCUAACGCCAAAAACCUUAAACCUAACCCUAGCCCCAAAACCUAAUACUUCAGGAAGCUUGAACACCCCAAAUAUUUUUUUUUCAUUUUACAUUUUUUUGGGUGUUACCAAUUCCAAAAGGUCUGAAACAUGUUCCUAAAAAGGUUUUGGACAGUGAUUUUAGCCCGAACACCCCAAAUAUUUUUUUUCAUUUUUCAUUUUUUUUUGGUCUAACUAACUCCAAAAGGUUGGAAAAUAGUUCCUACAAAGGUUUUGGACAGUGAUUUUAACCCUAACGCCAAAAACCUUAAACCUUACUAUAGCCCCAUAACCUAAUACCCGGGUAUUACCUUCAGGAAGCUUGAACACCCCAAAUAUUUUUUUUUCAUUUUACAUUUUUUUUGGUGUUACCAACUCCAAAAGGUCUGAAACAUGUUCCUAAAAAGGUUUUGGACAGUGAUUUUAACCCUAACACCAAAAACCUUAAACCUUACCCUUGCCCCAUAACCUAUUACCUGGGUAUUUUCUUCAGGAAGCCCGAACACCCCAAAUAUAUAUUUUUUAUUAUUCUUUUUUUUUUUUUGGUCUAACUAACUCCAAAAGGUCGGAAAAACAUUCCUACAAAGGUUUUGGACAGUGAUUUUAACCCUAACGCCAAAAACCUUAAACCUUACACUAGCCCCAAAACCUAAUACCCGGGUAUUACCUUCAGGAAACCCGAACACCCCAAAUAUAUUUUUUUUCUUUUUCUUUUUUUUUUGUCUAACUAACUCCCAAAGGUCUGAAACAUGUUCCUUUAAAAAUAUUGGACAGUUAUUUUAACCCUAACGCCAAAAACCUUAAACCUAACCCUAGCCCCAAAACCUAAUACCCAGGUAUUACCUUCAGGAAGCCCGAACACCCCAAAUAUUUUUUUUUCAUUUAUCUUAUUUUUUUUGUCUAACUUAUUCCCAAAGGUUGGAAAAGAGUUCCUACAAAGGUUUUGGACAGUGAUUUUUACCCUCACGCCGAAAAACCUUAAACCUUACCCUAGCCCCAUAACCUAAUACCCGGGUAUUACCUUCAGGAAGCCCGAACACCCCAAAUAUACAUUUUUUAUUUUUCUUUUUGUUUUGGUCUAACUUGCUCUCAAAGGUUGGAAAAGAAAUCCUACAAAGGUUUUGGACAUUGAUUUUAACCCUAACGCCAAAAACCUAAAACAUUACCCUAGCCCAGAAACCUAGUAUUACCUUCAGGAAGCCCGAACACCCAAAAAAAAUUCUUUUUCAUUUUACAUUUUUUUUGGUGUAACCAACUCCAAAAGGUCUGAAACAUGUUCCUAAAAAGGUUUUGGACAGUGAUUUUAACCCUUACGCCAAAAACCUUAAACCCUUCCCUAGCCCCAUAACCUAAUACCUUGGUAUUACCUUCAGGAAGCCCGAACACCCCAAAUAUUUUUUUUCAUUUUUCGUUUUUUUUUGGUCUAACUAACUCCAAAAGGUUGGAAAAUAGUUCCUACAAAGGUUUUGGACAGUGAUUUUAACCCUAACGCCGAAAACCUUAAACCUUACUAUAGCCCCAUAACCUAAUACCCGGGUAUUACCUUCAGGAAGCUUGAACACCCCAAAUAUUUUUUUUUCAUUUUACAUUUUUUUUUGGUGUAACCUACUCCAAAAGGUCUGAAACAUGUUCCUAAAAAGGUUUUGGACAUUGAUUUUAACCCUAACGCCAAAAAACUUAAACCUUACCCUAGCCCCAUAACCUAAUACCUGGGUAUUUCCUUCAGGAAGCCCGAAGACCCCAAUAUAUUUUUUUCAUUUUUUUUUUUUUUGGUCUAACUAACUCCAAAAGGUUGGAAAAGAGUUCCUACAAAGGUUUUGGACAGUGAUUUUAACCCUAACACGAAAAACCUUAAACCUUACCCUAGCCCCAAAACCUAAUACCCGGGUAUUACCUUCAGGAAGCCCGAACACCCCACAUAUUUUUUUUUUCAUUUUACAUUUUUUUUUGGGUGUAACCAACUCCAAAAGGUCUUAAACAUGUUCCUUAAAAGGUUUUGGACACUGAUUUUAACUCUAACGCCAAAAACCUUAAACCUUACCCUAGCCCCAUAACCUAAUACCCGGGUAUUACCUUCAGGAAACCCGAACACCCCAAAUAUUUAGGGCCCGAGCCAGCUGCAGAGCAGCCGGGCGUAGGCCCUGUUAUUCCUGUAGGGGUUUUUAGGGCCCGAGCGUAGCUGCUAAGCAGCUGCGAGAGCCCUCUUGUUCCUGUAGUUUCCUUCUUUUGUUAUUAGGGCCCGAGCGUAGCUGCUAAGCAGCUGCGAGAGCCCUCUUGUUCCUGUAGUUUCCUUCUUUUGUUAUUAUUAUUAUUAUUUUUCCUCCCCUUUGAACUGGAAAAUGGCCCACUUCCCACUGGCGAAAACUCAUGAAAUUUGGCAGGACGACCGGGCCUGGUGAAAAAUUUGAUAUUCCGAAGUCGCCCAAACAAGAAAAUGCAAAAUGGCUCCAUAGCGCCCCCUAAGGGGAAAAUUCACACUAUUCACUGUCACGCCGGUACGCUUUGUCAAAAUGACACAAAAAUUGACACACACAUGUAUCUCAAUAAGAUCUACAAAAAAGUCAGUGCGGGCGUAUCUGUCAAAUGUACGGUUAAAGGGUUAUUUCGCAUUUUUUGCCGAUCCGCACACAUUGGAAUUUCGCUAACUCCUCCGAAGGCUUUCGUUCCACCGGCACCACAUUUGCUCAGGCCAAUCUACACCCCAUGGCCAUUAAAAGUUAUUCAAAUCAUGACGCUGCACCCCACGGUUUAGGUUCUAGGGGGCGCCAAAGAUAACCCUAAGAUCCACAUAUUUAAAAGUCUUAUAACUUUUUAUUUUUGCCCUCACUGGCCUCCAAGUUUUCUAGGAUGAUGCAAUGUCCAGCCAUCAACACAUUUGUGAAGGAAUUUUUACUCCCCAAAAGAGCGCCCCCCAUGGCAGGAGAAAAAAGUCCAUUUUUUCUUGUCCCCUAAGGUGAAAAUACACAUUGUUGAGUGUAACACCUGUACGCUUUGGCAAAAUGACACAAAAAUUGACACACACAUGUAUCUCAAUAAGAUCUACGAAAAAGUCAAUGCGCGCGUAUCUGUCAAAUGUACGGUUAAAGGGUUAUUCCGCAUUUUUUGCCGAUCCGCACACAUUGGAAUUUCGCUAACUCCUCCGAAGGCUUUCGUUCCACCGGCACCACAUUUGCUCAGGCCAAUCUACACCCCAUGGCCAUUAAAAGUUAUUCAAAUCAUGACGCUGCACCCCACGGUUUAGGUUCUAGGGGGAGCCAAAGAUAACCGUAAAAUCCACAUAUUUAAAAGUCUUAUAACUUUUUAUUUUUGUCCCCACUGGCCUCCAAGUUUUCUAGGAUGAUGCAAUGUCCAGCCAUCAACACAUUUGUGAAGGAAUUUUUACUCGGCAAAAGAGCGCCCCGCCAUGGCAGGAGAAAAAAGUCAAUUUUUUCUUGUCCACUAAGGUGAAAAUACACAUUGUUGAGUGCUACGCCUGUAUGUUUUGUCGUAUUGACAAAAAAUUUUACAUACACGUGUAUUUACAUAAGAUCUUCGAAAAAGUCAAUGGCCACGUAUCUGUAAAAUGUACGGUUAAAGGGUUAUUUCGCAUUUUUUGCAGAUUCGCACACAUUGGAAUUUCGCUAAUUCCUCCGAAGGCUUUCGUUCCACCGGCACCACAUUUGCUCAGGCCAAUCUACACCCCAUGGCCAUUAAAAGUUAUUCAAAUCAUGACGCUGCACCCCACGGUUUAGGUUCUAGGGCGCGCCAAAUAUAACCCUAAAAUCCACAUAUUUAAAAGUCUUAUAACUUUUUAUUUUUGUCCUCACUGGCCUCCAUGUUUUCUAGGAUGAUGCAAUGUCCAGCCAUCAACACAUUUGUGAAGGAGUUUUUCUCUUUAAAAGAGCGCCCCCCAUGGCAGGAGAAUAAAGUCAAGUUUUUCCUGUUCAUCAUUCAAUGGCUCAAACGCACUGCUCUCUCGGCAAAAGCGAAAGGAGGAGCAACUUGCCAUUUGGAUAUAUCUUAGCUGUGUUUGUGCCCUCACUCAUGGUCCAGACUUUUUCAAAUAGGACAUGGAGUUUUUCUGCAGCGAGCGUUUUGGUAGAAACUGCGCCUCCCGUUCAUUAUAAUGGUAAAUGACCACAAACAAGUGCGCACACCAUCUUUGGACCUUGAGUGUGACGCGAUCGGGUGGGGGAGGCGGUCGCGCUGGGGGCGGCGUGACACGGCUCGGGCCCGCCAGUGCCCCAACGGGGCCCUAGUUAUUAUUUUUCCUCCCCUUUGAACUUGAAAAUGGCCCACUUCCCACUGGCGAAAACUCAUGAAAUUUGGCAGGACGACCGGGCCUGGUGAAAAAUUUGAUAUUCCGAAGUCGCCCAAACAAGAAAAUGCAAAAUGGCUCCAUAGCGCCCCCUAAGGUGAAAAUUCACACUAUUCACUGUCACGCCUGUACGCUUUGUCAAAAUGACACAAAAAUUGACACACACAUGUAUCUCAGUAAGAUCUACAAAAAAGUCAGUGCGGGCGUAUCUGUCAAAUGUACGGUUAAAGGGUUAUUUCGCAUUUUUUGCCGAUCCGCACACAUUGGAAUUUCGCUAACUCCUCCGAAGGCUUUCGUUCCACCGGCACCACAUUUGCUCAGGCCAAUCUACACCCCAUGGCCAUUAAAAGUUAUUCAAAUCAUGACGCUGCACCCCACGGUUUAGGUUCUAGGGGGCGCCAAAAAUAACCCUAAAAUCCACAUAUUUAAAAGUCUUAUAACUUUUUAUUUUUGCCCUCACUGGCCUCCAAGUUUUCUAGGAUGAUGCAAUGUCCAGCCAUCAACACAUUUGUGAAGGAAUUUUUACUCCCCAAAAGAGCGCCCCCCAUGGCAGGAGAAAAAAGUCCAUUUUUUCUUGUCCCCUAAGGUGAAAAUACACAUUGUUGAGUGUAACACCUGUACGCUUUGGCAAAAUGACACAAAAAUUGACACACACAUGUAUCUCAAUAAGAUCUACGAAAAAGUCAAUGCGCGCGUAUCUGUCAAAUGUACGGUUAAAGGGUUAUUCCGCAUUUUUUGCCGAUCCGCACACAUUGGAAUUUCGCUAACUCCUCCGAAGGCUUUCGUUCCACCGGCACCACAUUUGCUCAGGCCAAUCUACACCCCAUGGCCAUUAAAAGUUAUUCAAAUCAUGACGCUGCACCCCACGGUUUAGGUUCUAGGGGGCGCCAAAAAUAACCCUAAAAUCCACAUAUUUAAAAGUCUUAUAACUUUUUAUUUUUGCCCUCACUGGCCUCCAAGUUUUCUAGGAUGAUGCAAUGUCCAGCCAUCAACACAUUUGUGAAGGAAUUUUUACUCCCCAAAAGAGCGCCCCCCAUGGCAGGAGAAAAAAGUCAAUUUUUUCUUGUCCCCUAAGGUGAAAAUACACAUUGUUGAGUGUAACACCUGUACGCUUUGGCAAAAUGACACAAAAAUUGACACACACAUGUGUCUCUAUAAGAUCUACGAAAAAGUCAAUGCGCGCGUAUCUGUCAAAUGUACGGUUAAAGGGUUAUUCUGCAUUUUUUGCCGAUCCGCACACAUUGGAAUUUCGCUAACUCCUCCGAAGGCUUUCGUUCCACCGGCACCACAUUUGCUCAGGCCAAUCUACACCCCAUGGCCAUUAAAAGUUAUUCAAAUCAUGACGCUGCAUCCCACGGUUUAGGUUCUAGGGGGCGCCAAAGAUAACCCUAAAAUCCACAUAUUUAAAAGUCUUAUAACUUUUUAUUUUUGUCCUCACUGGCCUCCAAGUUUUCUAGGAUGAUGCAAUGUCCAGCCAUCAACACAUUUGUGAAGGAAUUUUUACUCCCCAAAAGAGCGCCCCCCCAUGGCAGGAGAAAAAAGUCAAUUUUUUCUUGUCCCCUAAGGUGGAAAUUCACACUAUUGACUGUCACGCCUGUACGCUUUAUCAUAUUGACACAAAAAUUGACACACCUAUGUAUCUCAAUAAGAUCUACAAAAAAGUCAAUUCGCGCGUAUCUGUCAAAUGUACGGUUUAAGGGCUAUUUUGCAUUUUUUGCCGAUUCGCACACAUUGGAAUGUGGCUAACUCCUCCUAAGGCUUUCGUCCCUCUGACACCAAAUUUGCUCAGGCCAAUCUACACCCCAUGGCCAUUCAAAGUUGUAAAAAUCAUGACGCUGCACCCCACGGUUUACGUUCUAGGGGGCGCCAAAAAUGACCCAAAAAUCCACAUUCUUAAAAGAAUCCACAUCCCCCCUAUGGCAGGAGAAAAAGUCAAGUUUUUCCUGCCCAUCGCUCAAUGGCUCAAUCGCAUUGCUCUCCAGGCAACACCGUAAGGAGGAGCAACCUGGCAUUUCGAUAUAUCAUAGCUGUGUUUGUGCCCUCACUCAUGGUCCAGACUUUUUUCAAAUAGGACAUGAAGUUUGUCUGCAGCGAGUGUUUUGGUAGAAACUGCGCCUCCCAUUCAUUAUAAUGGGAAAUGACCACAGACAAGUGCGCACACCAUCUUUGGUUCUUGAGUGUGACUCGAUCGGGACGGGGAGGCGGUCGCACUGGGGGCGGCGCGACGCGGCUCGGGCCCGACAGUGCCCCACCGGGGCCCUAGUUCUUUGUUUCUUUCUUUCUUCUUUUUCCUCCCCUUUGAACUGGAAAAUGGCCCACUUCCCACUGGCGAAAACUCAGGAAAUUUGGCAGGACGACCGGGCCUGGUGAAAAAUUUGAUAUUCCGAAUUCGCCCAAACAAGAAAAUGCAAAAUGGCUCCAUAGCGCCCCCUAAGGUGAAAAUUCACACUAUUGACUGUCACGCCUGUACGCUUUGUCAAAAUGACACAAAAAUUGACACACACAUGUAUCUCAAUAAGAUCUACAAAAAAGUCAGUGCGGGCGUAUCUGUCUAAUGUACGGUUAAAGGGUUAUUUCGCAUUUUUUGCCGAUCCGCACACAUUGGAAUUUCGCUAACUCCUCCGAAGGCUUUCGUUCCACCGGCACCACAUUUGCUCAGGCCAAUCUACACCCCAUGGCCAUUAAAAGUUAUUCAAAUCAUGACGCUGCACCCCACGGUUUAGGUUCUAGGGGGCGCCAAAGAUAACCCUAAAAUCCACAUUUUUAAAUGUCUUAUAACUUUUUAUUUUUGCCCUCACUGGCCUCCAAGUUUUCUAGGAUGAUGCAAUGUCCAGCCAUCAACACAUUUGUGAAGGAAUUUUUACUCCCCAAAAGAGCGCCCCCCAUGGCAGGAGAAAAAAGUUCAUUUUUUCUUGUCCCAUAAGGUGAAAAUUCACACUAUUGACUGUCACGCCUGUACGCUUUGUCAAAAUGACACAAAAAUUGACACACACAUGUAUCUCAAUAAGAUCUACAAAAAAGUCAGUGCGGGCGUAUCUGUCUAAUGUACGGUUAAAGGGUUAUUUCGCAUUUUUUGCCGAUCCGCACACAUUGGAAUUUCGCUAACUCCUCCGAAGGCUUUCGUUCCACCGGCACCACAUUUGCUCAGGCCAAUCUACACCCCAUGGCCAUUAAAAGUUAUUCAAAUCAUGACGCUGCACCCCACGGUUUAGGUUCUAGGGGGCGCCAAAGAUAACCCUAAAAUCCACAUUCUUAAAUGUUUUAUAACUUUUUAUUUUUGCCCUCACUGGCCUCCAAGUUUUCUAGGAUGAUGCAAUGUCCAGCCAUCAACACAUUUGUGAAGGAAUUUUUACUCCCCAAAAGAGCGCCCCCCCAUGGCAGGAGAAAAAAGUUCAUUUUUUCUUGUCCCAUAAGGUGAAAAUUCACACUAUUGACUGUCACGCCUGUACGCUUUGUCAAAAUGACACAAAAAUUGACACACACAUGUAUCUCAAUAAGAUCUACAAAAAAGUCAAUGCGCGCGUAUCUGUCAAAUGUACGGUUAAAGGGUUAUUCCGCAUUUUUUGCCGAUUCGCACACAUUGGAAUUUCGCUAACUCCUCCGAAGGCUUUCGUUCCACCGGCACCAAAUUUGCUCAGGCCAAUCUACACCCCAUGGCCAUUAAAAGUUAUUCAAAUCUUGACGCUGCACCCCAUGGUUUACGUUCUAGGGGGCGCCAAAGAUAACCCAAAAAUCCACAUUUUUAAAAGUCUUAUAACUUUUUAUUUUUGUCCUCACUGGCCUCCAAGUUUUCUAGGAUGAUGCAAUGUCCAGCCAUCAACACAUUUGUGAAGGAAUUUUUACUCCCCAAAAGAGCGCCCCCCCAUGGCAGAAGAAAAAAGUCCAUUUUUUCUUGUCCCCUAAGGUGAAAAUACACAUUGUUGAGUGUCACGCCUAUACGCUUUGUCAAAAUGACACAAAAAUUGACACACACAUGUAACUCAAUAAGAUCUACGAAAAAGUCAAUGCGCGCGUAUCUGUCAAAUGUACGGUUAAAGGGUUAUUCCGCAUUUUUUGCCGAUCCGCACACAUUGGAAUGUGGCUAACUCCUCCUAAGGCUUUCGUUCCACCGGCACCACAUUUGCUCAGGCCAAUCUACACCCCAUGGCCAUUAAAAGUUAUUCAAAUCAUGACGCUGCACCCCACGGUUUAGGUUCUAGGGGGCGCCAAAAAUAACCCUAAAAUCCACAUAUUUAAAAGUCUUAUAACUUUUUAUUUUUGCCCUCACUGGCCUCCAAGUUUUCUAGGAUGAUGCAAUGUCCAGCCAUCAACACAUUUGUGAAGGAAUUUUUACUCCCCAAAAGAGCGCCCCCCCAUGGCAGGAGAAAAAAGUCCAUUUUUUCUUGUCCCCUAAGGUGAAAAUACACAUUGUUGAGUGUAACACCUGUACGCUUUGGCAAAAUGACACAAAAAUUGACACACACAUGUAUCUCAAUAAGAUCUACGAAAAAGUCAAUGCGCGCGUAUCUGUCAAAUGUACGGUUAAAGGGUUAUUCCGCAUUUUUUGCCGAUCCGCACACAUUGGAAUUUCGCUAACUCCUCCGAAGGCUUUCGUUCCACCGGCACCACAUUUGCUCAGGCCAAUCUACACCCCAUGGCCAUUAAAAGUUAUUCAAAUCAUGACGCUGCACCCCACGGUUUAGGUUCUAGGGGGCGCCAAAAAUAACCCUAAAAUCCACAUAUUUAAAAGUCUUAUAACUUUUUAUUUUUGCCCUCACUGGCCUCCAAGUUUUCUAGGAUGAUGCAAUGUCCAGCCAUCAACACAUUUGUGAAGGAAUUUUUACUCCCCAAAAGAGCGCCCCCCAUGGCAGGAGAAAAAAGUCAAUUUUUUCUUGUCCCCUAAGGUGAAAAUACACAUUGUUGAGUGUAACACCUGUACGCUUUGGCAAAAUGACACAAAAAUUGACACACACAUGUGUCUCUAUAAGAUCUACGAAAAAGUCAAUGCGCGCGUAUCUGUCAAAUGUACGGUUAAAGGGUUAUUCUGCAUUUUUUGCCGAUCCGCACACAUUGGAAUUUCGCUAACUCCUCCGAAGGCUUUCGUUCCACCGGCACCACAUUUGCUCAGGCCAAUCUACACCCCAUGGCCAUUAAAAGUUAUUCAAAUCAUGACGCUGCAUCCCACGGUUUAGGUUCUAGGGGGCGCCAAAGAUAACCCUAAAAUCCACAUAUUUAAAAGUCUUAUAACUUUUUAUUUUUGUCCUCACUGGCCUCCAAGUUUUCUAGGAUGAUGCAAUGUCCAGCCAUCAACACAUUUGUGAAGGAAUUUUUACUCCCCAAAAGAGCGCCCCCCCAUGGCAGGAGAAAAAAGUCAAUUUUUUCUUGUCCCCUAAGGUGGAAAUUCACACUAUUGACUGUCACGCCUGUACGCUUUAUCAUAUUGACACAAAAAUUGACACACCUAUGUAUCUCAAUAAGAUCUACAAAAAAGUCAAUUCGCGCGUAUCUGUCAAAUGUACGGUUUAAGGGCUAUUUUGCAUUUUUUGCCGAUUCGCACACAUUGGAAUGUGGCUAACUCCUCCUAAGGCUUUCGUCCCUCUGACACCAAAUUUGCUCAGGCCAAUCUACACCCCAUGGCCAUUCAAAGUUGUAAAAAUCAUGACGCUGCACCCCACGGUUUACGUUCUAGGGGGCGCCAAAAAUGACCCAAAAAUCCACAUUCUUAAAAGAAUCCACAUCCCCCCUAUGGCAGGAGAAAAAGUCAAGUUUUUCCUGCCCAUCGCUCAAUGGCUCAAUCGCAUUGCUCUCCAGGCAACACCGUAAGGAGGAGCAACCUGGCAUUUCGAUAUAUCAUAGCUGUGUUUGUGCCCUCACUCAUGGUCCAGACUUUUUUCAAAUAGGACAUGAAGUUUGUCUGCAGCGAGUGUUUUGGUAGAAACUGCGCCUCCCAUUCAUUAUAAUGGGAAAUGACCACAGACAAGUGCGCACACCAUCUUUGGUUCUUGAGUGUGACUCGAUCGGGACGGGGAGGCGGUCGCACUGGGGGCGGCGCGACGCGGCUCGGGCCCGACAGUGCCCCACCGGGGCCCUAGUUCUUUGUUUCUUUCUUUCUUCUUUUUCCUCCCCUUUGAACUGGAAAAUGGCCCACUUCCCACUGGCGAAAACUCAGGAAAUUUGGCAGGACGACCGGGCCUGGUGAAAAAUUUGAUAUUCCGAAUUCGCCCAAACAAGAAAAUGCAAAAUGGCUCCAUAGCGCCCCCUAAGGUGAAAAUUCACACUAUUGACUGUCACGCCUGUACGCUUUGUCAAAAUGACACAAAAAUUGACACACACAUGUAUCUCAAUAAGAUCUACAAAAAAGUCAGUGCGGGCGUAUCUGUCUAAUGUACGGUUAAAGGGUUAUUUCGCAUUUUUUGCCGAUCCGCACACAUUGGAAUUUCGCUAACUCCUCCGAAGGCUUUCGUUCCACCGGCACCACAUUUGCUCAGGCCAAUCUACACCCCAUGGCCAUUAAAAGUUAUUCAAAUCAUGACGCUGCACCCCACGGUUUAGGUUCUAGGGGGCGCCAAAGAUAACCCUAAAAUCCACAUUUUUAAAUGUCUUAUAACUUUUUAUUUUUGCCCUCACUGGCCUCCAAGUUUUCUAGGAUGAUGCAAUGUCCAGCCAUCAACACAUUUGUGAAGGAAUUUUUACUCCCCAAAAGAGCGCCCCCCAUGGCAGGAGAAAAAAGUUCAUUUUUUCUUGUCCCAUAAGGUGAAAAUUCACACUAUUGACUGUCACGCCUGUACGCUUUGUCAAAAUGACACAAAAAUUGACACACACAUGUAUCUCAAUAAGAUCUACAAAAAAGUCAGUGCGGGCGUAUCUGUCUAAUGUACGGUUAAAGGGUUAUUUCGCAUUUUUUGCCGAUCCGCACACAUUGGAAUUUCGCUAACUCCUCCGAAGGCUUUCGUUCCACCGGCACCACAUUUGCUCAGGCCAAUCUACACCCCAUGGCCAUUAAAAGUUAUUCAAAUCAUGACGCUGCACCCCACGGUUUAGGUUCUAGGGGGCGCCAAAGAUAACCCUAAAAUCCACAUUCUUAAAUGUUUUAUAACUUUUUAUUUUUGCCCUCACUGGCCUCCAAGUUUUCUAGGAUGAUGCAAUGUCCAGCCAUCAACACAUUUGUGAAGGAAUUUUUACUCCCCAAAAGAGCGCCCCCCAUGGCAGGAGAAAAAAGUUCAUUUUUUCUUGUCCCAUAAGGUGAAAAUUCACACUAUUGACUGUCACGCCUGUACGCUUUGUCAAAAUGACACAAAAAUUGACACACACAUGUAUCUCAAUAAGAUCUACAAAAAAGUCAAUGCGCGCGUAUCUGUCAAAUGUACGGUUAAAGGGUUAUUCCGCAUUUUUUGCCGAUUCGCACACAUUGGAAUUUCGCUAACUCCUCCGAAGGCUUUCGUUCCACCGGCACCAAAUUUGCUCAGGCCAAUCUACACCCCAUGGCCAUUAAAAGUUAUUCAAAUCUUGACGCUGCACCCCAUGGUUUACGUUCUAGGGGGCGCCAAAGAUAACCCAAAAAUCCACAUUUUUAAAUGUCUUAUAACUUUUUAUUUUUGCCCUCACUGGCCUCCAAGUUUUCUAGGAUGAUGCAAUGUCCAGCCAUCAACACAUUUGUGAAGGAAUUUUUACUCCCCAAAAGAGCGCCCCCCCAUGGCAGGAGAAAAAAGUUCAUUUUUUCUUGUCCCAUAAGGUGAAAAUUCACACUAUUGACUGUCACGCCUGUACGCUUUGUCAAAAUGACACAAAAAUUGACACACACAUGUAUCUCAAUAAGAUCUACAAAAAAGUCAGUGCGGGCGUAUCUGUCUAAUGUACGGUUAAAGGGUUAUUUCGCAUUUUUUGCCGAUCCGCACACAUUGGAAUUUCGCUAACUCCUCCGAAGGCUUUCGUUCCACCGGCACCACAUUUGCUCAGGCCAAUCUACACCCCAUGGCCAUUAAAAGUUAUUCAAAUCAUGACGCUGCACCCCACGGUUUAGGUUCUAGGGGGCGCCAAAGAUAACCCUAAAAUCCACAUUCUUAAAUGUUUUAUAACUUUUUAUUUUUGCCCUCACUGGCCUCCAAGUUUUCUAGGAUGAUGCAAUGUCCAGCCAUCAACACAUUUGUGAAGGAAUUUUUACUCCCCAAAAGAGCGCCCCCCCAUGGCAGGAGAAAAAAGUUCAUUUUUUCUUGUCCCAUAAGGUGAAAAUUCACACUAUUGACUGUCACGCCUGUACGCUUUGUCAAAAUGACACAAAAAUUGACACACACAUGUAUCUCAAUAAGAUCUACAAAAAAGUCAAUGCGCGCGUAUCUGUCAAAUGUACGGUUAAAGGGUUAUUCCGCAUUUUUUGCCGAUUCGCACACAUUGGAAUUUCGCUAACUCCUCCGAAGGCUUUCGUUCCACCGGCACCAAAUUUGCUCAGGCCAAUCUACACCCCAUGGCCAUUAAAAGUUAUUCAAAUCUUGACGCUGCACCCCAUGGUUUACGUUCUAGGGGGCGCCAAAGAUAACCCAAAAAUCCACAUUUUUAAAAGUCUUAUAACUUUUUAUUUUUGUCCUCACUGGCCUCCAAGUUUUCUAGGAUGAUGCAAUGUCCAGCCAUCAACACAUUUGUGAAGGAAUUUUUACUCCCCAAAAGAGCGCCCCCCAUGGCAGAAGAAAAAAGUCCAUUUUUUCUUGUCCCCUAAGGUGAAAAUACACAUUGUUGAGUGUCACGCCUAUACGCUUUGUCAAAAUGACACAAAAAUUGACACACACAUGUAACUCAAUAAGAUCUACGAAAAAGUCAAUGCGCGCGUAUCUGUCAAAUGUACGGUUAAAGGGUUAUUCCGCAUUUUUUGCCGAUCCGCACACAUUGGAAUGUGGCUAACUCCUCCUAAGGCUUUCGUUCCACCAGCACCACAUUUGCUCAGGCCAAUCUACACCCCAUGGCCAUUAAAAGUUAUUCAAAUCAUGACGCUGCACCCCACGGUUUAGGUUCUAGGGGGCGCCAAAUAUAACCUUAAAAUCCACAUAUUUAAAAGUCUUAUAACUUUUUAUUUUUGUCCUCACUGGCCUCCAAGUUUUCUAGGAUGAUGCAAUGUCCAGCCAUCAACACAUUUGUGAAGGAAUUUUUACUCCCCAAAAGAGCGCCCCCCCAUGGCAGGAGAAAAAAGUCCAUUUUUUCUUGUCCCCUAAGGUGAAAAUACAUAUUGUUGAGAUUCACGCCUAUACGCUUUGUCAUAUUGACACAAAAUUUGACAAUCACGUGCCUUGCCUGGUAUCAUUUUUUUCAGCACAACCUCACCUGUGCGAAUUUACAGUUAUUUUAUCAUGUUGACAUACUGAAUUUACACAAUGGACCCAAAUUCACACACAAAACAUAAAAUCCGAGUGGAAAAAAGUAAAAUUUUUACUGUGAAAACCACAAAUAUGUGUGAUGAACUGUUUUUAAAACUUAAACUUCAAAUAAAAAUUGUAAACUUCAAAACAUAUGCAAAUUUUUAACAAAGAACAUAGUGAUUUACCUCUAUUUACAUCAAAAUGCAGGCAAUGGCCCAGGCGUUCUUUGUAAAAUUAUUUACAAAACACUGUAUAGUCUCACAAAUGUCACUUUUUAUUUAUGCCACUACAAAAAACAUGAUGUAAAUGAUGCAUGAUGUAAAACAUGAUGUAAAAAACUUGUGUAGAUCCUCCUCUAUGUCAGUCCAUGUGUAAUUUUUCCAUAAUUCUUUGUUUUUUGCAGCAUUUUUGUUAGUGUAACUGCAGAUUGUGCUGACAGUGUCUAUGGCACAAAAAAAAAAAAAAAAUUAAAAUGCCUUAACAUGAACCCCUGGUGGUCUCUGAGGGUGAAACCUGCUAACUGCUGCAGCUCUGUCAGCUUCAGUCUCCCAUGCAGAGCUCUGAGCGCAUGUGUGGCUCUGCACCCUUAGCAGCGUUGCUAACUCCUCAGUAAGGAAAGCCUGCUUCAUGUCAGAGUCUCUAAACUCCAGAAGAAGUCGAUAAAAGUCCCUUUCUUUCUAAAAAAAAGUCGUUAGGGGGUCUGAAAAGUCAUUGAAUCUAACAACAAAGUCGCUAGGUUUGCAACUACGUGUCCCAGACUGCAUCCCUGCUGAGAGUCCCUCCCUCGCUUCUCAUGUUGCAGGAAGAACGUAAGCGCCCUCCCCUUGUCAAUCAGUCACCAUAUAAUUUUGGAUUGGUUGUUGUGGUGAAGUUUUCCACCAAUAGGAGAGAUGUUGUGGUGUGUUUUUUUUUUUCUUUUGGCAAGCCUUUUCCGCCUGUAAGACCUGUCGCUAAUGUCUGCAUGCUAUGUUUUCCUGUCUCAUACAGCGCGAUCGAGCGCCGAACGUGAUCAAAAUAAGCAGAAAAAAAGUAUCGCGGACAUAAUUUAUCAUAACUCUGGUUUUAUUUGGCCUAUCAACACAAUUUAAAAACUGGUAUAUAGGUUGAGGUCCUCACUUUUUAGAUUAGUUGAAACGGAUGCUGCGUCCGAACUGCCCGCUCGGAUACUACAUGCUACUGCUACGUGCUACUGCUAGAUCCUACACCUACAUACUAAAAACGUUGGCCCUAUUCGGACACACUACACGAGCGGUGGGGAAAGACGACCCCCGCAGGCAGAGAGUAGGUACUGCGCCCGUGCAGACAGUGGUAACUGAAGCCCCUCAUCUGCGGGCCUGGCUGUAGUACUGCAGCUGUGCAGUUUCAUGAUGGAAUAAGUGAGCUUUACCUCCAUGAUGUCGCCACUUGCUCAUAAAAUGAUUACUUGGGCAAAUAUGACACCAUGACAUGACAAAGAAAUACAACCGCACAUUUUUUAGGACAGUGUGUGAAGUUACAUGAAACUUACAUCUGUACUGCUGCGGUCCCGCCUGCUGCUGCUGCUGCUCCGACAUGGUGCGCGCUGCUGUGGCCAGCCGGCGUUCGCGACGCACCUAAAUAGGCAGCAGAUGGUGGCGCUAGCAUCACAUGCGCUUCUACAACUUUUAAGAGGACGAAGAAGAAGCCCGCGGUGCAUUUUGGGUCAGUAACAUGCCCGUAGGAUGCACCGAGACCAACCUACAAUGUGGGCGUGUCUAGCAUCUGAAGUAGUAUCUGAAGUAGCAUGCUACUCGCUCCGGUGGCCAAUUCGGACAUGCUAGAUACUACUUCGACUACUACUUCGACUACUACUUGGCAAUUCGGACGCAGCUGGAGAGUCAACGAGGCUCCGUCUUGCAGCUACAUCCGGUUAAAUAUGUCAUGUGACUUGAACGCUGGGGAGCGUCAAUCGACUGCAGAGCCAGCAGACAAAGUAGUUAUGGCCACUGAGAGGCACACAUUUGUCAUAUGCUAUAAUCCUAACAUAUUUGAAUGCUUUUUCUAUUUAAACCUAAUGGAUCUAAGGUUUGACCUUCAAAAUUUAGGAAGAAUAUGUUUUUGCAGUAAUUACCCCCUUAAACAACCAGAGGUCCUUUCCUAAAGUUUAUGGAAAUUUUAGUGAAGGCCUUGGUUUCUUUCCUUGCAAAAUGUAUAGAAAUAAUAAAGCUAAAUACCAUAAAAUGGUCUUGGUGUAUUAGCAGUGAUAUAAAAUAGUGGUUUGAAUAUGAAUGAACAACAAAAAAAACAUCAACAGAGCCUUUUUGAGUUGGGAUUCUUACACAAAAACAGACAUAGAUAGACAUCUGAAGGGUAAGGGAAUGAUCAGCCCUCCUAACUCUCAGAUGAAUCUUCAAAAUUCACCUCAGAAAUAUGCUCAUUAUUCUUCUCAGAGUACUACAAGAUAUACACACACACACACAGACACAACACACACACACACACACACACACACACACACACACACACACACACACACACACACACACACACUCAGAGUCUGUUUUUUAGCACCUGCAAAAACAUGCUAUUUACAUAUUUGACAAGAAUGCAGAGGCUCCUUUUGCCCCUGAAAAAAAUCUAAUUUCAAACACAACUUGACUGCUCAUUUCUCCAAAACACAACCAUGAAGCCCUAUGCAAACCUGAAGCAGGCAGUUGGUGCAUGUGUACAGUAACCUGAGGGGAGUGAGGUGACUGCUUCUGAGGAGAACAUGAGCAGUGAAGCUUCACCUUAGAGCCAGAACAGGGACGUGCACAUAAUUAUACAGGGGCAGGGGCUCAAGUCUUUUCCAGUCAUUUAUACAAUAUGGAAAUUAAUGUGAAAUUAAAAAACAAAGUAUUAAUAGAAAGGUAAUGACUGUCCUGUGUAGAUGACAGUGAUAUCCAAUAGGCUAGGCACUCACGAGGCUGGCUGUGGCAAGUGUAAGUGAAAGCAACACGCACUGGCAGGAAGAACAGCAAACGCCGAUGAAGGAAAAGGGUCUUUGCAGUGAUAGGCGUUACCAGAGAGGGCGAUGGCCAGAGGACGCGAAUGGGACGGGGAGGCAGCGCGUUGGGGGGGGCCGCGCGACACGGCUCGGGCCCGCCAGUGCCCCAACGGGGCCCUAGUUCUUUGUUUCUUUCUUUCUUCUUUUUCCUCCCCUUUGAACUGGAAAAUGGCCCACUUCCCACUGGCGAAAACUCAGGAAAUUUGGCAGGACGACCGGGCCUGGUGAAAAAUUUGAUAUUCCGAAGUCGCCGAAACAAGAAAAUGCAAAAUGGCUCCAUAGCGCCCCCUAAGGUGAAAAUUCACACUAUUGACUGUCACGCCUGUACGCUUUGUCAAAAUGACACAAAAAUUGACACACACAUGUAUCUCAAUAAGAUCUACAAAAAAGUCAGUGCAGGCGUAUCUGUCAAAUGUACGGUUAAAGGGUUAUUUCGCAUUUUUUGCCGAUCCGCACACAUUGGAAUUUCGCUAACUCCUCCGAAGGCUUUCGUUCCACCGGCACCACAUUUGCUCAGGCCAAUCUACACCCCAUGGCCAUUAAAAGUUAUUCAAAUCAUGACGCUGCACCCCACGGUUUAGGUUCUAGGGGGCGCCAAAGAUAACCCUAAAAUCCACAUUUUUAAAAGUCUUAUAACUUUUUAUUUUUGCCCUCACUGGCCUCCAAGUUUUCUAGGAUGAUGCAAUGUCCAGCCAUCAACACAUUUGUGAAGGAAUUUUUACUCCUCAAAAGAGCGCCCCCCCAUGGCAGGAGAAAAAAGUCCAUUUUUUUCUUGUCCCCUAAGGUGAAAAUACACACUAUUGACUGUCACGCCUGUACGCUUUGUCAAAAUGACACAAAAAUUGACACACACAUGUAUCUCAAUAAGAUCUACAAAAAAGUCAGUGCGGGCGUAUCUGUCAAAUGUACGGUUAAAGGGUUAUUUCGCAUUUUUUGCCGAUCCGCACACAUUGGAAUUUCGCUAACUCCUCCGAAGGCUUUCGUUCCACCGGCACCACAUUUGCUCAGGCCAAUCUACACCCCAUGGCCAUUAAAAGUUAUUCAAAUCAUGACGCUGCACCCCACGGUUUAGGUUCUAGGGGGCGCCAAAGAUAACCCUAAAAUCCACAUUUUUAAAAGUCUUAUAACUUUUUAUUUUUGCCCUCACUGGCCUCCAAGUUUUCUAGGAUGAUGCAAUGUCCAGCCAUCAACACAUUUGUGAAGGAAUUUUUACUCCCCAAAAGAGCGCCCCCCCAUGGCAGGAGAAAAAAGUCCAUUUUUUCUUGUCCCCUAAGGUGAAAAUACACAUUGUUGAGUGUUACGCCUGUACGCUUUGGCAAAAUGACACAAAAAUUGACACACACAUGUAUCUCAAUACGAUCUACAAAAAAGUCCAUGCGCGCGUAUCUGUCUAAUGUACGGUUAAAGGGUUAUUCCGCAUUUUUUGCCGAUUCGCACACAUUGGAAUUUCGCUAACUCCUCCGAAGGCUUUCGUUCCACCGGCACCACAUUUGCUCAGGCCAAAUUACACCCCAUGGCCAUUAAAAGUUAUUCAAAUCAUGACGCUGCACCCCACGGUUUACGUUCUAGGGGGCGCCAAAGAUAACCCAAAAAUCCACAUUUUUAAAAGUCUUUUAACUUUUUAUUUUUGUCCUCACUGGCCUCCAAGUUUUCUAGGAUGAUGCAAUGUCCAGCCAUCAACACAUUUGUGAAGGAAUUUUUACUCCCUAAAAGAGCGCCCCCCAUGGCAGGAGAAAAAAGUCCAUUUUUUCUUGUCCCCUAAGGUGAAAAUACACAUUGUUGACUGUCACGCCUGUACGCUUUGGCAAAAUGACACAAAAAUUGACAAUCAUGUGUAUCUCAAUUAGAUCUACGAAAAAGUCAAAGAGCGCGUAUCUGUAUAAUGUACGGUAAAAGGGCUAUUUUGCAUUUUUUGCCAAUUCGCACACAUUGGAAUUUCGCUAACUCCUCCUAAGGCCUUCGUCCCACUGACACCAAAUUUGCUCAGGCCAAUCUACACUCCAUGGCCAUUCAAAGUUGUAAAAAUCAUGACGCUGCACCCCACGGUUUACGUUUUAGGGGGCGCCAAAGAUGACCCAAAUAUACAUUACAGUAGACAAAGUAGUUUUGCCCACUGAGUGGCGCCAAAGGGACUUGUCUGUGGAGUCUGUGAGUCACUAUUGGCCGUUUUUGACUACUUUAGAUUUUACCUUUAUAUUUCCUCUUACAAAAUUUUUACCUUGCCUUGCCUGGUAUCAUUUUUUUCAGCACAACCUCACCUGUGUCAAUUUACAGUUAUUUUAUCAUUUUGACAUACUAUAUUUACACAUUGGACCCAAAUUCACACACAAAACAUAAAAUCCGAGUGGAAAAAAGUAACGUUUUUACUGUGAAAACCACAAAUAUGUGUGAUGAACUGUUUUUAAAACUUAAACUUCAAAUAAAAAUUGUAAACUUCAAAACAUAUGCAAAUUUUUAACAAAGAACAUAGUAAUUUACCUCUAUUGACAUCAAAAUGCAGGCAAUGGCCCAGGUGUUCUUUGUAAAAUUAUUUACAAAACACUGUAUAGUCUCACAAAUGUCACUUUUUAUUUAUGCCACUACAAAAAAACAUGAUGUAAAUGAUGCAUGAUGUAAAACAUGAUGUAAAAAACUUGUGUAGAUCCUCCUCUAUGUUAGUCCAUGUGUAAUUUUUCCAUAAUUCUUUGUUUUUUGCAGCAUUUUUGUUAGUGUAACUGCAGAUUGUGCUGACAGUGUCUAUGGCAAAAAAAAAAAAAAAAAAAACUGAAAAUGCCUCAACAUGAACCCCUGGUGGUCUCUGAGGGUGAAACCUGCUAACUGCUGCAGCUCUGUCAGCUUCAGUCUCCCAUGCAGAGCUCGGAGCGCAUGUGUGGCUCUGCACCCUUAGCAGUGUUGCUAACUCCUCAGUAAGGAAAGCCUGCUUCAUGUCAGAGUCUCUAAACUCCAGAAGAAGUCGAUAAAAGUCACUUUCUUUCUAAAAAAAAGUCGCUAGGGGGUCUGAAAAGUCAUUGAAUCUAACAACAAAGUCGCUAGGUUUGCAACUACGUGUCCCAGACUGCAUCCCUGCUGAGAGUCCCUCCCUCCCUUCUCAUAUUGCAGGAAGAACGUAAGUUCCCGCCCCUUGUCAAUCAGUCACCAUAUAAUUUUGGAUUGGUUGUUGUGGUGAAGUUUUCCACCAAUAGGAGAGAUGUUGUGGUGUGUUUUUUUUUCCUUUGGCAAGCCUUUUCCGCCUGUAAGACCUGUCGCUAAUGUCUGCAUGCUAUGUUUUCCUGUCUCAUACAGCGCGAUCGAGCGCCGAACGUGAUCAAAAUAAGCAGAAAACAAGUAUCGCGGACAUAAUUUAUCAUAACUCUGGUUUUAUUUGGCCUAUCAACACAAUUUAAAAACUGGUAUAUAGGUUGAGGUCCUCACUUUUGAGAUAAGUUGAAACGGAGAGUCAACGAGGCUCCGUCUUGCAGCUACAUCCGGUUAAAUAUGUCAUGUGACUUGAACGCACACACACACACACACACACACACACACACACAGACACACACACACACGCACACACACACACUCAGAGUCUGGUUUUUAGCACCUGCAAAAACAUGCUAUUUACAUAUUUGACAAGAAUGCAGAGGCUCCUUUUGCCCCUGAAAAAAAUCAAAUUUCAAACACAACUUGACUGGUCAUUUCUCCAAAAGACAACCAUGAAGCUCCAUCCAAACCUGAAGCAGGCAGUUGGUGCAUGUGUACAGUAACCUGAGGGGAGUGAGGUGACUGCUUCUGAGGAGAACAUGAGCAGUGAAGAUUCACCUUAGAGCUAAAACAGAGACGUGCACAUGAUUAUACAGGGGCAGGGGCUCAAGUUUUUUCCAGUUGUUUAUACAAUAUGGAAAUUAAUGUGAAAUUAAAAAACAAAGUAUUAAUAGAAAGGUAAUGACUGUCCUGUGUAGGUGACAGUGAUAUCCAAUAGGCUAGGCACUCACGAGGCUGGCUGUGGCAAGUGUAAGUGAAAGCAACACGCACUGGCAGGAAGAACAGCAAACGCAGAUGAAGGAAAAGGGUCUUUGCAGUGAUGGGCGUUACCAGAGAGGGCGACGGCCAGAGGACGCGAAUGGGACGGGGAGGCAGCGCGUUGGGGGGGGGACGCGACACAGCUCGGGCCCGCCAGUGCCCCAACGGGGUCCUAGUUUUUUUUUCUUUUUCUUUUUUUUUUGUCUAACUAACUCCCAAAGGUCUGAAACAUGUUCCUUAAAAAAUAUUGGACAGUUAUUUUAACCCUAACGCCAAAAACCUUAAACCUAACCCUAGCCCCAAAACCUAAUACCCGGGUAUUUCCUUCAGGAAGCCCGAACACCCCAAAUAUUUUUUUUUCAUUUAUCUUUUUUUUUUUUGUCUAACUAAUUCCCAAAGGUUGGAAAAUAGUUCCUACAAAGGUUUUGGACAGUGAUUUUAACCCUAACGCCAAAAACCUUAAACCUAACCCUAGCCCCAAAACCUAAUACCCGGGUAUUACCUUCAGGAAGCCCGAACACCCCAAAUAUAUAUUUUUUAUUUUUCUUUUUUUUUUUGGUCUAACUUGCUCUCAAAGGUUGGAAAAGAGUUCCUACAAAGGUUUUGGACAUUGAUUUUAACCCUAACACCAAAAACCUUAAACAUUACCCUAGCCAGGAAACCUAGUAUUACCUUCAAGAAGCCCGAACACCCAAAAAAAAUUGUUUUUCAUUUUACAUUUUUUUUGGUGUAACCAACUCCAAAAUGUCUGAAACAUGUUCCUAAAAAGGUUUUGGACAGUGAUUUUAACCCUUACGCCAAAAACCUUAAUCCUUACCCUAGCCCCAUAACCUAAUACCCGGGUAUUACCUUCAGGAAGCCCGAACACCCCAAAUAUUUUUUUUUCAUUUAUCUUUUUUUUUUUUGUCUAACUAACUCCAAAAGGUUGGAAAAGACUUCCUUCAAAAGACUUACUCCAAAAGGUUGGAAAAGACUUCCUACAAAGGUAAUACAAAGUAUUACCUUCAGGAAGCCCGAACACCCCAAAUAUUUUUUUUUAAUUUUACAUUUUUUUUUGGUGUUACCAACUGUAAAAGGUCUUAAACAUGUUCCUAAAAAGGUUUUGGACAGUGAUUUUAACCCUUACGCCAAAAACCUUAAACCUUACCCUAGCCCCAUAACCUAAUACCGGGGUAUUACCUUCAGGAAACCCGAACACCCCAAAUAUUUUUUUUUUCUUUUUCUUUUUUUUUUGUCUAACUAACUCCCAAAGGUCUGAAACAUGUUCCUGAAAAAAUAUUGGACAGUGAUUUUAACCCUAACGCCAAAAACCUUAAACCUAACCCUAGCCCCAAAACCUAAUACCCGGGUAUUUCCUUCAGGAAGCCCGAACACCCCAAAUAUUUUUUUUUCAUUUAUCUUUUUUUUUGUCUAACUAAUUCCCAAAGGUUGGAAAAGAGUUCCUACAAAGGUUUUGGACAGUGAUUUUAACCCUAACGCCAAAAACCUUAAACCUUACCCUAGCCCCAAAACCUAAUACCUUGGUAUUACCUUCAGGAAGCCCGAACACCCCAAAUAUUUUCUUUUCAUUUUUCGUUUUUUUUUUGGUCUAACUAACUCCAAAAGGUUGGAAAAUAGUUCCUUAAAAAAUAUUGGACAGUGAUUUUAACCCUAACGCCAAAAACCUUAAACUUUACUAUAGCCCCAUAACCUAAUACCCGGGUAUGACCUUCAGGAAGCUUGAACACCCCAAAUAUUUUCUUUUCAUUUUACAUUUUUUUUUGGUGUAACCUACUCCAAAAGGUCUGAAACAUGUUCCUAAAAAGGUUUUGGACAGUGAUUUUAACCCUAACACCAAAAACCUUAAACCUUACCCUAGCCCCAAAACCUAAUACCCGGGUAUUACCUUCAGCAAGCUUGAACACCCCAAAUAUUUUUUUUUAUUUUACAUUUUUUUUUUGGUGUUACCAACUCCAAAAGGUCUGAAACAUGUUCCUAAAAAGGUUUUGGACGGUGAUUUUAACCCUAACGCCAAAAACCUUAAACCUUACCCUAGCCCCAUAACCUAAUACCUGGGUAUUUCCUUCAGGAAGCCCGAAGACCCCAAUUAUAUUUUUUUCUUUUUUUUUUUUUUUGGUCUAACUAACUCCAAAAGGUUGGAAAAGAGUUCCUACAAAGGUUUUGGACAGUGAUUUUAACCCUAACACCAAAAACCUUAAACCUUACCCUAGCCCCAAAACCUAAUACCCGGGUAUUACCUUCAGGAAGCCCGAACACCCCAAAAAUUUUUUUUUCAUUUAUCUUAUUUUUUUUGUCUAACUAAUUCCCAAAGGUUGGAAAAGAGUUCCUACAAAGGUUUUGGACAGUGAUUUUUACCCUGACGCCGAAAAACCUUAAACCUUACCCUAGCUCCAUAACCUAAUACCCGGGUAUUACCUUCAGGAAGCCCGAACACCCCAAAUAUAUAUUUUUUAUUUUUCUUUUUGUUUUGGUCUAACUUGCUCUCAAAGGUUGGAAAAGAGUUCCUACAAAGGUUUUGGACAUUGAUUUUAACCCUAACGCCAAAAACCUAAAACAUUACCCUAGCCAAGAAACCUAGUAUUACCUUCAGGAAGCUUGAACACCCCAAAUAUUUUUUUAUCAUUUUACAUUUUUUUUGGUGUAACCAACUCUAAAAGGUCUUAAACAUGUUCCUAAAAAGGUUUUGGACAGUGAUUUUAACCCUUACGCCAAAAACCUUAAACCCUUCCCUAGCCCCAUAACCUAAUACCUUGGUAUUACCUUCAGGAAGCCCGAACACCCCAAAUAUUUUUUUUUCAUUUUUUUUUUUUUUUUUGUCUAACUAACUCCAAAAGGUCUGAAACAUGUUCCUUAAAAAAUAUUGGACAGUGAUUUUAACCCUUACGCCAAAAACCUUAAACCUUACCCUAGCCCCAAAACCUAAUACCCGGGUAUUUCCUUCAGGAAGCCCGAACACCCCAAAUAUUUUUUUUUCAUUUUACAUUUUUUUUUGGUGUUACCAACUCCAAAAGGUCUGAAACAUGUUCCUAAAAAGGUUUUGGACAGUGAUUUUAACCCUAACGCCAAAAACCUUAAACCUUACCCUAGCCCCAUAACCUAAUACCUGGGUAUUUCCUUCAGGAAGCCCGGAGACCCCAAAUAUAUUUUUUUCUUUUUUUUUUUUUUUUGGUCUAACUAAAUCCAAAAGGUCUGAAAAGAGUUCCUACAAAGGUUUUGGACGGUGAUUUUAACACUAACGCCAAAAACCUUAAACCUAAUCCUAGCCCCAAAACCUAAUACCCGGGUAUUACCUUCAGGAAGCCCGAACACCCCAAAUAUUUUUUUUUUCAUUUUACAUUUUUUUUGUCUAACUAACUCCCAAAGGUCUGAAAGAUGUUCCUUAAAAAAUAUUGGACAGUGAUUUUAACCCUUACGCCAAAAACCUUAAACCUAACCCUAGCCCCA
This 28916-nucleotide long non-coding RNA is filed under the name Xyrichtys novacula (pearly razorfish). The record is from RNAcentral. Lineage: Eukaryota; Metazoa; Chordata; Actinopteri; Labriformes; Labridae.